This 804-nucleotide ribosomal RNA is filed under the name uncultured Bacillota bacterium. Its description in RNAcentral is "bacterial SSU rRNA". It matches the Rfam family "Bacterial small subunit ribosomal RNA", at positions 85 to 902 of the family's 1533-position model. Lineage: Bacteria; Bacillati; Bacillota. The record is from RNAcentral.
CAAUAUUAGAGUGGCGCACGGGUGAGUAACACGUAGCUAAUCUACCUCAAAGCGCGGGAUAACGUGUCGAAAGACAGGCUAAUACCGCAUAAGCUCGCGAUCUGUAGAGGGUUGCGAGAAAAGGCGCAAGUCACUUUGAGAUGAGGCUGCGGCCCAUCAGCUAGUUGGGGUGGUAAAAGCACACCAAGGCGACGACGGGUAGGGGACCUGAGAGGGUGACCCCCCACACUGGGACUGAGACACGGCCCAGACUCCUACGGGAGGCAGCAGUGAGGAAUAUUGCACAAUGGGCGCAAGCCUGAUGCAGCGACGCCGCGUGGGUGAAGAAGGUUUUCGGAUCGUAAAACCCUUUUCUGUGUGACGAGCAAGGACGGUAGCACAGGAAUAAGUCUCGGCUAACUACGUGCCAGCAGCCGCGGUAAAACGUAGGAGACAAACGUUAUCCGGAGUUACUGGGCGUAAAGGGCGUGUAGGUGGUUUCGUAAGUCUGGCGUGAAAUUUUUCGGCUUAACCGGGAAAGGUCGUCGGAUACUGCGGAGCUAGAGGACGGUAGAGGCGUGUGGAAUUCCGGGUGUAGUGGUGAAAUGCGUAGAGAUCCGGAGGAACACCAGUGGCGAAGGCGACACGCUGGGCCGUACCUGACACUGAUGCGCGACAGCAUGGGGAGCAAACAGGAUUAGAAACCCUGGUAGUCCAUGCCGUAAACGAUGCUAGCUGGGUGUUCAGGGGGGGAAACCCCUCGGGGUACCGAAGUCAACACGGUAAGCUAGCCGCCUGGGGAGUACGGUCGCAAGAUUAAAACUC